CUCCUUUCUCUAAGUCUAGCCUCUACUAGGCUUUGUCUGUGUCCACAUGCGAUGUGGAAUUAUUAAAUGUUCAGACAUAGCCUAAAAGAGGUUAGGUGAAGCAGGAAGUA
RNAcentral lists this microRNA precursor (110 nucleotides) under Glossina morsitans morsitans. RNAcentral describes it as "microRNA mir-282". It matches the Rfam family "mir-282 microRNA precursor family". Lineage: Eukaryota; Metazoa; Arthropoda; Insecta; Diptera; Glossinidae. The record is from RNAcentral.